Molecule: long non-coding RNA, 304 nt
Organism: Ornithodoros turicata
Lineage: Eukaryota; Metazoa; Arthropoda; Arachnida; Ixodida; Argasidae
Exons: 4
Source: RefSeq, a predicted model, not a curated record
GCACGACGUCCAAAAUACCCCUGUAGGCGUACAACUCGAAGCGUAUUGAAUCCUGCUUCGCAUGGUGGAACGAAGUGGGACCUUGGAACGUCCACCCCAACUUCGUCUCGAUUCCGACGAUCGAUUUUGCCCGUGACGAAAUCCCAUAACUGACCUGAGCCCAGAAAGCUAUGGGUACAUCGCAGUUCGCCGGAAAGUGGGAAGCACUAUUACAGAAGAAACAGACAGCGCCAUCUGUUGAGAGGAGCGGGCGAACCAACUGGUAUAUUUUCUGUCCACCUUUACAGUCCUCCUUGCCAGGGAG